CCUCACAGAGCUUGUAAAUAUAAGCAUCUCUUUUACACAGAGAAGAAGUUCGUGAAAUUCGAAUUGUCUGGA
This 72-nucleotide transfer RNA is filed under the name Aphelasterias japonica. RNAcentral describes it as "tRNA-Val". Lineage: Eukaryota; Metazoa; Echinodermata; Asteroidea; Forcipulatida; Asteriidae. The record is from RNAcentral.